This is a small nuclear RNA of Chionomys nivalis (European snow vole), 106 nucleotides long. The record is from RefSeq and is a predicted model, not a curated record. Lineage: Eukaryota; Metazoa; Chordata; Mammalia; Rodentia; Cricetidae.
GUGCUUGCUGCGGCAGCGCGUACACUAAAAUUGGAACGCUACAGAGAAGAUUAGCACGGCCUCUGCGCAAGGACGACAAAAAAAAAAAGAGUUCAGACUCAACCUU